RNA transcript from Asparagus officinalis (garden asparagus), 974 nucleotides. It is a transcript of the gene named Golgi SNAP receptor complex member 1-2-like, with no coding region annotated. The record is from RefSeq and is a predicted model, not a curated record. Lineage: Eukaryota; Viridiplantae; Streptophyta; Magnoliopsida; Asparagales; Asparagaceae. The transcript has 3 exons.
CCCAAAAUGGAAAUUUUCAUCCCAAAAUUGAAUUUUUUCCGUAACAAGCAGCCUCAUCCCCCUAAAUCCUCAACUCCAAGCUCACCCCCUGACCCCUCCCUCCACGGCCUCCACCACCUCUCCCGCCUUCUCUCCUCCUCACCGGACCCCUUACCGAACUCCCACAUCCUCUCCUCCGCGUGCCACCUCAUCUCCUCCUCCGCCGCCACAGUCGUACACGCAGAGCGGUGGGGUUCGGCCGUUUGGGCUGUCGAAGUUGACGUCGGUGACGGGGACCACGGCGAGGUUCUUGAACCCUAAUUGGCCGACCCUGGUGGAGUUUAGAGGGUGGUGCUUCUCGAGGGAGUGUUGGAGGAUGGUGAUGGAGAUCGGGUUGUUCAAUGGCGGGGUCUUGAGGCGGGAGCAGAGGCAGAGGCGGUGGGGUUUUGUGCAGCGGUGGCAAAAUGGUCUUCUUGAGGGGGUGGUGGCCAUGGGGAUUCUAGGGUUAGGGUUAGGGUUUGGAGUUUGGAGGAGGAGGAGAUUGGUGACGUUAGAGAGGAAACGAGUCUGAAUUGGUGAGAGGCUUUUAAGGUUUGAGCCAGGGUUUAGAAACACCAUUGUCAGGUUAUGUGGACAGUGGAUCACUAAAUGUUGGUCCCAGUAGAUCAUGGAAAUCCAUGGAAAUGGAAAAAGAGUUCUCACUAGAGAAGCUGCUCGAUAUUAAUGAUUCCAUGAGCCGAUGUGCUGCAACAGCGUCUGCCACAAGUUCUAUUAAUCAAAAACUUGCAAGGCAUAGGGACAUACUUCACGAAUAUACACAGACCAUGCUUACGCUCAGAAUGAUGAGGAAGAAGGUGAAGAAGGAGGCCUGAGUAAAUGUAUAGGGAAGGAGUUGAAGAAGCUUCAGCAGUGUCAUAGCUAUUGUAAAUAAUUUAUGUAAAAAUUUGUAAACAAUUUAUGUAUCUCUCUACUAUUUUGGUGAAUGUAUUAUUUGA